Long non-coding RNA from Micropterus salmoides (largemouth bass), 1048 nucleotides. RefSeq lists it as uncharacterized. The record is from RefSeq and is a predicted model, not a curated record. The transcript has 4 exons. Lineage: Eukaryota; Metazoa; Chordata; Actinopteri; Centrarchiformes; Centrarchidae.
GCGGAAGCUUCCAGAAGAAGAGUCUGUUUGACGAGGGGCACGGGAAGGGAAGAGGAAAUGAGGAGUUCACCGAGUUGUGGACAUACACCUGCUUCUCUCCUCUCUCCAUAAGCCCUUCCAUGGUCUGACAUGGGGCAGACUGGGUGUGGAUCACUUUGCUACUGCCAUCCCCAAAAUCCCACCUACAUGGCAUGCACCACAUGGGAAUUUGGGAUAAGCUGAAAAUACAACUUUACAGACUUCUCAUGCGACUUCCUGGGCACUUCCAGUGUGACACUUUACUGACCUCCACUGUGAGUUGACCGAUGUCUGGAACCUUGGAGAAGGGGUGUAUCUGGGUCUGAGCAUAGAUGCCGGUCAUGAGGACAACUCCAGUCACGAAACUGGCCACAGAUGGUAAAGAUUCUGCAUGAAGAGGAAUUAACCAAAAUCACCUCACGAGAAAGAGGUGUCUUCCAGCACAUUGAGCCUUCCUCCACCGUUUCUGUGUCCCCAAGGCCAUUUGAGUACAUACCGCCUGACUUUCACUGGCUCCGGCCCACCAUGAUGGCCCUGCUGGCUUCAAAACCCCAACCUGGUCAGACCCUUCUCCAUCUGAUCCCUUCAGCCAUACCCACACAGUGGUUUUCCUUAACCAGCACGAAAACAAAGGUGAAAUGUUAUGUUAAUAGAUAUAAGCACAUAUUGUAUAGAUACGUGAAAGGAGACAUUUUAGAAAGACUAUUGUUUGUUUUAACACUCACACUGGAAAGGAGUAGUGGAUGAAGUUUUGCAGCUCCAGGCUGUCAGCAUAGGCCAGAUCUCCUCCCUGAGUCUCUCUGCAUGAAUCCUGUGCUUCAGGCCAUGAAAAUGUCAUCUCAGAGAGCCAAUAGCAUCGCUGGCUGGGAAGGUGGAUCUGACCUCCUUUUGGACAAGGGAUGUCCUCUGGAAGGCAACAAACACACUGAACCGAUAGCAUGCAAAAGGAGCCAUCUGUCAACAAUGGUAUGUAACAAUGCUGUAGCUUUGACAAAGAAUCAAAGAAAUAAAAAGAAUGUGGGUAAAUAAA